This 254-nucleotide ribosomal RNA is filed under the name uncultured bacterium. RNAcentral's name for it is "partial 16S ribosomal RNA". It matches the Rfam family "Bacterial small subunit ribosomal RNA", at positions 524 to 776 of the family's 1533-position model. The record is from RNAcentral.
CACGUAGGGUGCGAGCGUUGUCCGGAAUUAUUGGGCGUAAAGAGCUCGUGGGCGGUGUGUCGCGUCGGCCGUGAAAACCUGCAGCUUAACUGUGGGCUUGCGGUCGAUACGGGCAUCACUGGAGUUCGGCAGGGGAGACUGGAAUUCCUGGUGUAGCGGUGAAAUGCGCAGAUAUCAGGAGGAACACCGGUGGCGAAGGCGGGUCUCUGGGCCGAUACUGACGCUGAGGAGCGAAAGCUAGGGGAGCAAACGGG